RNAcentral lists this ribosomal RNA (514 nucleotides) under uncultured bacterium. Its description in RNAcentral is "partial 16S ribosomal RNA". It matches the Rfam family "Bacterial small subunit ribosomal RNA", at positions 28 to 523 of the family's 1533-position model. The record is from RNAcentral.
GACGAACGCUGGCGGCGUGCCUAAUACAUGCAAGUCGAGCGGAUGACGGAGGAGCUUGCUCCUCCUGAUUCAGCGGCGGACGGGUGAGUAACACGUGGGCGACCUGCCCUGUAGAUUGGGAUAACUCCGGGAAACCAGGGCUAAUACCGAAUAAUCCUUCGGACCUCAUGGUCCGAUGCUGAAAGACGGUUUCGGCUGUCACUACAGGAUGGGCCCGCGGCGCAUUAGCUAGUUGGUGAGGUAACGGCUCACCAAGGCCACGAUGCGUAGCCGACCUGAGAGGGUGAUCGGCCACACUGGGACUGAGACACGGCCCAGACUCCUACGGGAGGCAGCAGUAGGGAAUCUUCCACAAUGGACGAAAGUCUGAUGGAGCAACGCCGCGUGAGUGAAGAAGGUCCUCGGAUCGUAAAACUCUGUUGUGAGGGAAGAACAAGUACCGGAGUAACUGCCGGUGCCUUGACGGUACCUCAUUAGAAAGCCACGGCUAACUACGUGCCAGCAGCCGCCGUAA